UACGUAGGGACCAAGCGUUGUUCGGAAUUACUGGGCGUAAAGGGCGCGUAGGCGGCCUGUUAAGUCGAACGUGAAAUCCCCAGGCUUAACUUGGGAACUGCAUCCGAUACUGGAUGGCUUGAAUCCGGGAGAGGGAUGCGGAAUUCCAGGUGUAGCGGUGAAAUGCGUAGAUAUCUGGAGGAACACCGGUGGCGAAGGCGGCAUCCUGGACCGGCAUUGACGCUGAUGAGCGAAAGCCAGGGGAGCAAACGGG
RNAcentral lists this ribosomal RNA (253 nucleotides) under uncultured bacterium. RNAcentral's name for it is "partial 16S ribosomal RNA". It matches the Rfam family "Bacterial small subunit ribosomal RNA", at positions 524 to 776 of the family's 1533-position model. The record is from RNAcentral.